AGCGCAGGCGGGUUGGCAAGUCCUUGGUGAAAUCCUGAGGCUUAACCUCAGGACUGCCAAUGAUACUGCUGAUCUUGAGUACAGAAGAGGAAGAUGGAAUUCCUGGUGUAGCGGUGAAAUGCGUAGAUAUCAGGAAGAACACCGGUGGCGAAGGCGGUCUUCUGGUCUGUAACUGACGCUCAUGCUCGAAAGCGUGGGGAGCAAACAGGAUUAGAUACCCUGGUAGUCCACGCCCUAAACGAUGGAUACUCGAUGUCGGGUCGCAAGGCCCGGUGUCCAAGCUAACGCGUUAAGUAUCCCACCUGGGGAGUACGAUCGCAAGGUUGAA
RNAcentral lists this ribosomal RNA (328 nucleotides) under uncultured bacterium. Its description in RNAcentral is "bacterial SSU rRNA". It matches the Rfam family "Bacterial small subunit ribosomal RNA", at positions 568 to 898 of the family's 1533-position model. The record is from RNAcentral.